UGUUUGUUUUUCUGUGUUUCAGAUACCCAAGGGCCUUUGACAACCCCAGUAUCUUUUCCAGUGGAAUUUGUUUUUGCUCUAAAAAUUAAAAUGUGCGAUGUGACGUUCUGUGUGUGAACACUUUGGUGGAGGAGACUGACUGUGGUGGAUGGAACAUUGAGAGGAAGCCAGAAAGGUCAAGGCCGCUAAAGUCAUCUUUUCAAAUAAAUCCAAACUUCACAUGCAGAGAAGAGACCAGGAUGAGGGUAAGAAAGAUUAAAUUGAUGGUGAUGUGGAAGAAAGACUAAAGAACACAUGAGGGAGUAGAGGAUGCUGAGGGACGAAGUAAUUCCAAGAUGGAGUUCUCAAAAAGUGAAGCAGGAGGCCCAGGAAGAACAGAGUGGGUCUAGAAUGAGAUGAACUUGGACCACAUCCAUAUUGGUCUCUUUGGUUCCUUAAACAACAGCCAAGCCAUCAAUACAGAAGGUGGAUGUGAGGUGGAGGCUUACCCGGAGGACAUUUUGAUGAGGAUAACUAAAGAUAAGUGAAUGCCAAACUAAGUUUAUAUCUAUCGAUUCCUGAAAGUAUCAUGAAGCCCAUUAUUUUGUAUGAUCAGUAAAAAGUAAUUUAAAAAAGAA
Molecule: non-coding RNA, 617 nt
Organism: Rattus norvegicus (Norway rat)
Lineage: Eukaryota; Metazoa; Chordata; Mammalia; Rodentia; Muridae
Source: RefSeq, a predicted model, not a curated record